GACAGAGGGUGCAAACGUUGUUCGGAAUUACUGGGCGUAAAGCGCGUGUAGGCGGCCCAGCAAGUCGGAUGUGAAAGCCCUGGGCUUAACCUAGGAAGUGCAUUCGAAACUGCUGGGCUUGAGUUCUGGAGAGGAAGGCGGAAUUCUCGGUGUAGAGGUGAAAUUCGUAGAUAUCGAGAGGAACACCGGUGGCGAAGGCGGCCUUCUGGACAGUGACUGACGCUGAGACGCGAAAGCGUGGGGAGCAAACAGG
This 253-nucleotide ribosomal RNA is filed under the name Polyangiaceae bacterium. Its description in RNAcentral is "partial 16S ribosomal RNA". It matches the Rfam family "Bacterial small subunit ribosomal RNA", at positions 524 to 776 of the family's 1533-position model. RNAcentral also lists the same sequence under 2 other names. The record is from RNAcentral. Lineage: Bacteria; Pseudomonadati; Myxococcota; Polyangiales; Polyangiaceae.